CAGGCUCAAAUUAAGAGUUUUAAUGUGGUUUUAGACCACAGCCCUAACUCAGGGUAGCAAUGCAUUUCAAUUUUGACAGAAAUUAAAAUGAGGCUGUGAGGGACCGAAGUACAGUGUGUUCAGUGGAUUGAACAACAUACGGAUCGUUCAGCCAACAAAACUUGAAUCUUUCUGGAAAACUUUCAGUAGACAAAAACCGCAUAAACCAACCUUAAUACAGUGCAUGCCAUUGUAAAGUCUAAGUAUAUUGCUCACAGCCUUGCUUUCAUCCAUGUUAAAUUCAACAUAGCAUCCAACCUGACAAGUCUUUGCUAAAGUAUACCGUACUGGGACUGUUCUCUAAUUUCAAGAAACUGAAACUAUUUAUAAUUUGAAUCAUUAAUUAAGACCAACAGAAUGACAGAGUGUGAUAUUGCUUUUAUACAUCAGUUUAACAUACAGGAAGUUAACAGUAACUUAUAUUUUAGACACAAUAUGCAUCUAAAUUAUAUUGACUGAUUUUUUCUCCACCAACGAAAACAGUUCCACACGGUGUCAAAACGGAAUCAACCAUUGGGUCUCCAAGCAACACACAUAUUAGCGGUGUUACAGUAUCGGGGUUUUUGAACAAAUCAAAGUGAAAAUUGAAAUGAGUCGCUCAUAAAGACAGCAGUCCCUCGUUUUGUUCUUGAAUCAUUUUUUGAACAAAUCGGCUAAAUGAAUGCAAUAACGACUCCGUGAUAAAGACAGAUGCUAAUGAGUUGUUAAGUAAUCUCUAAAAAAAGCAGAGAUUGACGCUAUUUCUGUAACAAGAAAUAAGACAAAUGGAGUAAGAGAAACUGUGAAUCUAUCGGAAAACAGUUGGAGCACUUGACAAAAAAGGAAAUUAUUAAAAUAUUGUGCCAUUUUUAUUUUGUGUAAAAAUCA
Molecule: long non-coding RNA, 906 nt
Organism: Carassius carassius (crucian carp)
Lineage: Eukaryota; Metazoa; Chordata; Actinopteri; Cypriniformes; Cyprinidae
Exons: 2
Source: RefSeq, a predicted model, not a curated record